RNAcentral lists this ribosomal RNA (330 nucleotides) under uncultured eukaryote. RNAcentral describes it as "partial 18S ribosomal RNA". It matches the Rfam family "Eukaryotic small subunit ribosomal RNA", at positions 1470 to 1796 of the family's 1831-position model. The record is from RNAcentral.
CCCUUAGAUGUUCUGGGCUGCACGCGCGCUACACUGAUGCACUCAACGAGUUUACGACCUUGCCCGAUAGGGUUGGGUAAUCUUUUUAAAAUGCAUCGUGAUGGGGAUAGAUUAUUGCAAUUAUUAAUCUUCAACGAGGAAUUCCUAGUAAGCGCGAGUCAUCAGCUCGUGCUGAUUACGUCCCUGCCCUUUGUACACACCGCCCGUCGCUGCCCGGAACUGAGCCGUUUCGAGAAAGCUGGGGACUGACGGCUUGUGGGUGCGCAAGCACUUCUUGCCGAUGGAAACCAGUUUAAUCGGUAUGGCUUGAACCGGGCAAAAGUCGUAACA